AGAAAUUAUACCGUUAUUUCAGGUGGGAAUGUGGAAGCUUGGAAAUGUUCGUCAAUUUAAUCAGAUUUUUAUCCAUAGAUCUGUGAGUGGAAAAAAUUAAAUAUUUUCAAGUAUUGAUAAAUUAAUUAUACCAAUACAUUAUGUGCAUUUAUAUGUUCAAUUACAUGAUUAUUUUGGAAAUAUUCUUUCAUUAUGAUAUUUGUAGAAUUCAAAGAUUAGAUAUGAAAAUAUUUGUGAUUUGGAAUGUGAGACAUGUGAUAUUAAGAUUGACCAGAAAAGUACCCAUGAUUAUAUAUUUCUUCU
RNAcentral lists this long non-coding RNA (303 nucleotides) under Olea europaea subsp. europaea. Lineage: Eukaryota; Viridiplantae; Streptophyta; Magnoliopsida; Lamiales; Oleaceae. The record is from RNAcentral.